Molecule: long non-coding RNA, 312 nt
Organism: Bombus impatiens (common eastern bumble bee)
Lineage: Eukaryota; Metazoa; Arthropoda; Insecta; Hymenoptera; Apidae
Exons: 3
Source: RefSeq, a predicted model, not a curated record
CGAUUAAGCUAUUUAUCCAAUCUAUAUUGCGAAUAAAGAAAAAAAUAGUAUAUAAAUUUUAUAUUAUUCUUUUCGCAUUAACUUUUGUGUUAUUUCGUAUCAGUGAUAAACAAUGAUCAAAUCACACAGUCGUUAAUCUUAAUUUAAUUCGUACUACGCUAUACAUAUUACUUUUUGGAGGAUUGAUGUGAAUAAAAAGUAUGCGAAAUCUCGUAUUGAGUAAAAUAAAAAUGUGCCAAGUACAUUAAAAUCCUGAAAACUCGAGUUUAUAGGAAAUAUCGAUAAAUGAAUUACUUAUUAAUUAAUCGAAAU